GUCUGCCCGUUUUGUUCUGGUGAUACCCUCGGAUUUUCCGUUUUUUGCAUCAUGUAGUAUGUUUUCGACAUUGCCAUUAUAUUUAAUUGGUUGGUAAGGUUUGUGAUAUCCAUCAAUAGGGCAUCAGUAGCUUGGAUGUAGUGUCGUGCUGUGGCAUCCCUGAGAUUCCUCAGUAAAGUCACUUGCUCCCUAUGCGCUUGCUUUUUGAGGUAGGAUGCUUG
Non-coding RNA from Pelobates cultripes (western spadefoot toad), 221 nucleotides. NCBI's taxonomy places the organism in Eukaryota, Metazoa, Chordata, Amphibia, Anura, Pelobatidae. The record is from the annotation of a GenBank genome assembly.